RNAcentral lists this ribosomal RNA (467 nucleotides) under uncultured bacterium. RNAcentral's name for it is "partial 16S ribosomal RNA". It matches the Rfam family "Bacterial small subunit ribosomal RNA", at positions 28 to 507 of the family's 1533-position model. The record is from RNAcentral.
GAUGAACGCUGGCGGCGUGCUUAACACAUGCAAGUCGACCGGAAAGGCUCCUGCUUGCAGGGGUACUCGAGUGGCGAACGGGUGAGUAACACGUGGGUGAUCUGCCCUGCACUUCGGGAUAAGCCUGGGAAACUGGGUCUAAUACCGGAUAGGACCACAUUUUGGAUGGUGUGGUGGAAAGUUUUUCGGUGUGGGAUGAGCUCGCGGCCUAUCAGCUUGUUGGUGGGGUAAUGGCCUACCAAGGCGUCGACGGGGAGCCGGCCUGAGAGGGUGUACGGCCACAUUGGGACUGAGAGACGGCCCAGACUCCUACGGGAGGCAGCAGUGGGGAAUAUUGCACAAUGGGAGCAAGCCUGAUGCAGCGACGCCGCGUGGGGGAUGACGGCCUUCGGGUUGUAAACUCCUUUCGCUAGGGACGAAGCGUUUUUGUGACGGUACCUGGAGAAGAAGCACCGGCUAACUACGUG